GGGCUUGUGGUGUAACGGAAACAUACCUGUCUUGCAAACAGGCGAUCGGAGUUCGAUUCUCCGCUGGUCCA
This 71-nucleotide transfer RNA is filed under the name Actinomadura rudentiformis. It matches the Rfam family "tRNA". From Rfam's summary of the family: Transfer RNA (tRNA) molecules are approximately 80 nucleotides in length. Their secondary structure includes four short double-helical elements and three loops (D, anti-codon, and T loops). Further hydrogen bonds mediate the characteristic L-shaped molecular structure. tRNAs have two regions of fundamental functional importance: the anti-codon, which is responsible for specific mRNA codon recognition, and the 3' end, to which the tRNAs corresponding amino acid is attached (by aminoacyl-tRNA synthetases). tRNAs cope with the degeneracy of the genetic code in two manners: having more than one tRNA (with a specific anti-codon) for a particular amino acid; and 'wobble' base-pairing, i.e. permitting non-standard base-pairing at the 3rd anti-codon position. The record is from Rfam by way of RNAcentral. Lineage: Bacteria; Bacillati; Actinomycetota; Actinomycetes; Streptosporangiales; Thermomonosporaceae.